UGGUCGAUACACGGGAGUCCUGGGGUACGCAGGGCUGAGAGUGGACACGCCGUCCUUACCGUCAAUACCUGAACCGGAUCAUGCCGGCGCAGGGAGUGAGGUGGUUGUGAGA
Molecule: non-coding RNA, 112 nt
Filed under: Rhodococcus sp. (in: high G+C Gram-positive bacteria)
Lineage: Bacteria; Bacillati; Actinomycetota; Actinomycetes; Mycobacteriales; Nocardiaceae
Also listed under: 1 other name
Description: Rhodococcus sp. TPP sequence
Rfam family: TPP riboswitch aptamer (THI element)
About the family: Vitamin B(1) in its active form thiamin pyrophosphate (TPP) is an essential coenzyme that is synthesised by coupling of pyrimidine and thiazole moieties in bacteria.
Source: RNAcentral